RNAcentral lists this ribosomal RNA (135 nucleotides) under uncultured bacterium. Its description in RNAcentral is "partial 16S ribosomal RNA". It matches the Rfam family "Bacterial small subunit ribosomal RNA", at positions 355 to 507 of the family's 1533-position model. The record is from RNAcentral.
UGGGGAAUAUUGGACAAUGGGCGCAAGCCUGAUCCAGCCAUGCCGCGUGAGUGAUGAAGGUCUUAGGAUUGUAAAGCUCUUUCACCGAUGAAGAUAAUGACGGUAGUCGGAGAAGAAGCCCCGGCUAACUUCGUG